Molecule: ribosomal RNA, 537 nt
Filed under: Triticum aestivum (bread wheat)
Lineage: Eukaryota; Viridiplantae; Streptophyta; Magnoliopsida; Poales; Poaceae
Description: partial small subunit ribosomal RNA
Source: RNAcentral
AUGGUGCUAAAGGGUGUCCGUGCAUUGCCUGUGACAGCAAUAGUAGAGUAUACAUUGCAGAAGUUGAGUGUCUAUUUUCAAAAGUAUAGUGAAGAAACAUCCAACUUGAUGUCCCGGAAAAACAAGGCCAAAAAGAUGUACAAGUAUCCACCAAAGGUCGACGAUUGGAUGGAAUACCAAGCAAGGAAGGCGGAUUCACACAAAAUCUAGUCCUUUGAUAACAUAGAAUUGAUUUACCAAGUUGAUGACCAUGGUGGAAUGUCGCGUGAUGGCGUGCCAUAUGGAGGUGGCUCCUUAAAGGUUUAUCUUAAGAUGGGCGCGUGUUCAUGCGAGAGGCCUACAUUGUAUCAUCUCCCGUGCUCUCACUUGAUGGCUGCAUCUCGCACUAGAAAUGUGAGUGUCAACAUGACCAACAAUGUAAGAUUGGAGGAGUAUUCGAUCAAUGCGAAAAAUACAUGGGCUGCGAGGUUUCAUCCCUAUCUAGACCAAUCUAAAUGGCCGGAAUACCAUGGACCCCAACUAUACCCUGAUUUGUAA